Molecule: ribosomal RNA, 253 nt
Filed under: uncultured bacterium
Lineage: Bacteria
Description: partial 16S ribosomal RNA
Rfam family: Bacterial small subunit ribosomal RNA
Source: RNAcentral
UACGGAGGGUGCGAGCGUUGUCCGGAAUCACUGGGCGUAAAGAGCGUGUAGGCGGCUAGGUAGGUCCGUUGUGAAAACUCGAGGCUCAACCUCGAGACGUCGAUGGAAACCAUCUAGCUAGAGUCCGGAAGAGGAGAGUGGAAUUCCUGGUGUAGCGGUGAAAUGCGCAGAUAUCAGGAAGAACACCCGUGGCGAAGGCGGCUCUCUGGUACGUGACUGACGCUGAGACGCGAAAGCGUGGGGAGCGAACAGG